UACGUAGGUGGCAAGCGUUGUCCGGAUUUACUGGGCGUAAAGGGCGUGCAGGCGGUUUGUUAAGUGCAGGGUGAAAGCUCCCGGCUCAACUGGGAGAGGUCCUUGCAUACUGGCGAACUCGAGGGAGGCAGAGGAAAGUGGAAUUCCCGGUGUAGUGGUGAUAUGCGUAGAUAUCGGGAGGAACACCUGUGGCGAAGGCGGCUUUCUGGGCCUUACCUGACGCUGAGACGCGAAAGUGUGGGGAGCGAACCGG
RNAcentral lists this ribosomal RNA (253 nucleotides) under uncultured bacterium. RNAcentral's name for it is "partial 16S ribosomal RNA". It matches the Rfam family "Bacterial small subunit ribosomal RNA", at positions 524 to 776 of the family's 1533-position model. The record is from RNAcentral.